AAGUCGUAACAAGGUUUCCGUAGGUGAACCUGCGGAAGGAUCAUUAAUGAAAUGAUAAUUUUUUGGGGUUUUUCCCCGAAAAAUAAUUCACCUUUUGUGCAUUGUUAUUAGAUAUACUUUGGUUAGAGCUUUGAUUUCAUUUUUUGAAAUCAACUUCUUGCUGACUCUAUCCUGUUAAGGACAGUUGGCUAUGAAGCGGCCUACCAAGGUUUUUUAUCAAACACUUGUAUUUUGUCUGACCUAAAAUCAAAUAAUUAAAUCAUAACUUUCAACAACGGAUCUCUUGGCUCUC
Molecule: unclassified non-coding RNA, 292 nt
Filed under: fungal sp.
Lineage: Eukaryota; Fungi
Description: partial internal transcribed spacer region
Rfam family: Eukaryotic small subunit ribosomal RNA (bases 1-46)
Source: RNAcentral